Molecule: long non-coding RNA, 6152 nt
Organism: Apis cerana (Asiatic honeybee)
Lineage: Eukaryota; Metazoa; Arthropoda; Insecta; Hymenoptera; Apidae
Source: RefSeq, a predicted model, not a curated record
UCUCGAGGAUACGUAUAUUUUGUGUAGGAAAAGAUUAUUUACGCGUAUAAAAAUAGAUUGAAAUUCAUCGAGGCUUCGUUUUGAAGCCAAGUUUAAUGAUGUCGAUAUAAUCCGAUGUAGUGAAAUUGGAUUUGUUGUUGGAAGUUUUUGACGUUGCCAUUUGUUUAUACCGUUGAAACGAUGGAAGAUAAAUAUGGCUGAUAAAAUUGUGUAUAUAAAAAUGGAUUAAGAGAGGGGAUUAAAAUUUAACAAUGAAUUUUUACAUUGUACGUUACACAUUCACAUUCAAAUUAUGAAAGUCUGAAGAAUUAACAGGUGUUGAUAUACCGAAUAAAUUAUUGCAACGUGAUUACAUUUUUUUUUUGUUUGUUUUCACUUAUCGCUCGAGGAAACGUAUCAACCAUUUAUUUAAAAAUGAAUCAACACCGCAAACCGAUCAUCAAACGCGACAAUCAAUAAUCUAAACGGAUACACGAGAAUCGAGAUCGAUUCCCAAGAGCGAAAGUAGACAACGAAAAGUCGAAGCAAAAAAGAAAAAAAAAAUACCAAACGCCUCCAUACAACUUCUCUACCAUUAAACCAUCCAUCCAUUCGCUUUAAACGAACCGCCCAAGAUCCAUGUACAACUUGAACAUCGAAACCAACCAGUGUUUCAAUUUCCCCUCUGAAAUUGAUAAUCAAUAUUCCGCUCUCAACGUCUACGAAACGUGUGCAACACCCAUCCACCACGAGUAAGUACACGGUUGUUCCUUAUACAUCGUUACAUAGUUGCACCAAUCCAACAAAGUGAGACUGGAGCUCUCGCCACGCCCUUCGAAGGCUUCGCGUGUAAUUAAGACAAGAUAGAGAAGCACGCUCCGUGAUAUUAGCGUGAAAUGGGCUAUAUAUGCGAUCAGCAAUCGCACAACCGAUAUUAAUCCUGAGAAUAUUUGCGGGUUUCUCGCUCUCAUUAAUUGGAAUUAUCUCGCUCGAGGUGGGUUUCUAAAGUUAAUAAGCUUUGCAGCAGGAACAAAAAGCCGUACGAAGAUGUACGAAGAUGUACGAAGAUGUACGAAGAUUCGCGAAGAUGCACGAGGAUGAACGAACGUUGGCCAAUUUCGCACCAAGUUAAGUAAUAGACGCAAUUUAAAAAUUCAUUUCUUUUCGUAAUCUAUUUUCUCCGUUUUAUAAUUACGUAAUUAAAAUUCGUUCCUUCUUAAACUCAUAAGUAUACUGAACAUUCCGAUUUAUUAGAAUUCCAUAUUAUUAUUUGCUUUCGUGAAGUUAUGCGAAAUUUUAAUUUAUAUAACGAUAUCGAUCUAACGAUCGCGUCCUCCCAAAUUUACAUCCCCCGUAAUCGUACCUUUUCCUCCCCUUCGUUCGCUCGUGCGGGAUGAAUCGCCGAUUCUCGGUCUCGCGACCAGUUUCUGCAAUUAACAUUUCACGCUGCGACCUAGGAUAUUGGCUGGCCGCUUCGGGGCGACGUUUACUAAUCGGUCGACAUUCACCGGUGGAUAGAGACACUUUCUUUACUUGUGCGCGGCGAAGACAGUUUUCGAUCGGUCCAAGAUUGCGUUCAAUGAUUUUAUCCACUCGAAAUUAAUGAAACGAAUCGUUUCUGCGAGGUUGGACGUAUAACGAGCUGUUUGCGAUAUUAUAUAUAAGCGAGAUUGUUUAGGUGGGAUCGAUGAAGGGAGGGACACGUGACAGGGAGUUUGUGAAGCAAACAUUGAAAUGGACUCGAUGAGUUAAAUUCUUUCCAGUGCGUGUAAACAUUGGCUGUGUAAUUAUGGGUAUGAGAAUUGAUUACCGAGACUGAGGGGAAAAAUGAAUUAAUUAUCGGUUCGACAGGCAGGCUCGUAUAUCUUGCUUACAUACGUGAGAAUUUUUUUUUAACUCUUUCACAGUAGAUUGCCCCUCAUCGUACGCAUUAUCAAAAUUAUCAUGACGACUUUAUAAUAAUAAUAAUAAUAAUAAUAAAAAGUAUAAUUCCACUUUCUAUCUGCAAAUUAUCAACGAUCGAGUCGUUUGAUUGGAUCUAAUCCAAUCUACUGUAUAUAAAGAGAAGUUGUAUCGUAAUUAAAAAUUCAUUUUCUUAAACUUAAAAGAUCGCGUGAGCAUUAUUCAUCUCAUAAAUCAAAAGGAAAAACAUUCUAACGAAUUCGUAUAAAAAAAAAUUAUAAUCCAAGAUUCGCCACGCGAGCUGGCGCUACGAUCGCCGAUGAAAUUGUCAGUAUUGAAAUAAAAUUACGUAGGAAUUACAUCGAUUAAAGGACGUUUACGAUCUCGAAGCCAACUAUCGCUAACGGUUACAAUCUCUGUUCGAGAGAACGUUUCAUACGGUCGAAUCCGGCCAAACGAGUUCCAAGUGGAAAACGCGUGUACACCCGGCUACCGGCAAAACGAGCGCGAUUAAUUACGAGCGUCGCGACGUCAAACCGCGAAAACGGCUCUCGUUAAAAUUUACUCGUGCACCGUUGGCCGAUUCCUCGCGCCUCCACCGGAAAUCGAUCGGGCGCGCGCUUAAUUUACGCGAGGAAAGUGAACCGGGUUGAUCGUUAAUAAUUAAGCAGUUGAACGGUCGGGCGGAUCGUUAAUUAUCGAGUUUUUCGAUCGAGAAACCGAGAUUCUCUCGCCACUUUCCCGUUCUACUCGAAUUAUCCACGCUCUUUAUCGAGAAAGCACGUGGUCGUGAAUCGGUUCGAAGAAGGGAGUUUUUUUUUUGGAGGAGAAUAAAGAUAAUUUUUAGUUCAACUUUCGAUUUUAAUAAUUUUCUUUCGAUUCGAAAAUAACAAGAUCGAGUUCAUAAUUUAAAUUCUUUCCUUUUUAAAUGAUAUUAAAAGUUUAUAAAAUUGGUUUUAUCGAUAUUUUUUUUUUUUAAACGUGAAUUUUUGUAUUUAAUGAAAUUCAAGAAAGAAAGAUGAUGUCUUCGCUGGAUUCUCGUCGACGCGACGGGCAAUCGAUUUCCACUCGUGACACGAGUGCACUUCCAUCGAAGAGAGUUCGAGUUCACCGUGGGAUAAAAGAAUGAAAAUUGUCUGAGUGAUGACCUGUACAGUUACUUGCUUAGACGGCUUUCGUGGUUCAGAAAGCGUUGGAAGACAAAUUCGAGGAAAAUACAUAAACGUGACUUCACGUUUCUAUACAUUUAUAUUCAGUAAUUUUAUCAUUUCUAAUAUAUAUAAUUUAUAUUAUUACAAAUCGUAAUUGAUAGUCGUAGAAACUAUCCAACUAAAAAAUCCUUUUCACAGAAUUUAAUCCCAUAUAUAUUUCCAGAACUUAUAAUUUGAUCGAAUCAAAGUUAUUAAAAAAAAAAAAAAAAUCGUCUCAAAAGUUAAGCAAAAACAAGUUUCUCUUUCACAACGUUUAAUCCCACGUCUAUGACGCGAUUCUCGCGUCAAAUUCUCGCCCGAGUAAUCUCGAAUAUAUCUUCUUCGAGACUACUACUCGUGAAAUUCCAGACCUACUUCAAGCCUACAUUUGCAUGCCGCGAGCUAAACGCAUUAAUGAAUACUUGGAGGUUUGCGCGAGUCGCCACUCGACGCUCAGCCUCUCUCGAAACUCGACAGUGGGAUGCGCAUCGAGAUACUGUGCCUCGACGAGUGAGCCAAGCCGCUUGACAAUUUAAGCUGCUUACCACGAUGCGCGCCACCUAGCGCGAAGAGCAACCGCCCCCUGGAUUAACACGUUAACUACCUGUUCCGCCCAGCGAAGUCGCCGUUUCCCGUCGAACAGUCUUCAUUGACGUCAACCGGUAAAUCUCCCUCGACAACCUCGCAUUUUCAGCCUUGACGGUUGAAUUGGAUCUUCGUUGCUACGGAUUAAUUACUCGUUUCGUGGUUAUCCCUACGUUUUCAGAGUAAAUAUGGUAGGUGAAGAGUAUAUUUUGUAAUGAAGCGUUUAGCGCUUGAAACGGUUGGAUGGGGAGCCACUUGAUGCAUGAUGGAUUUAUUGUUUGUUUGCUCGGUAGAUGAAGCGUAUUGAACUUUAUCGUUCCAGCUAUUUGUUUAUUUUUUUUUCAUCGAUAGAUGAGAAUUUAACGAUAUCGAAAGACUUUGUUUGUGUCGAAUGAGAAACACAAUUGUAUUUUAUUAAUUCCGAUCAUUUUUGUGCGUUUCAAUAUUACUAUAGGUCGUUGAAUCAUAAAAUAACUAAAAUGAAAAUUUUAAAUUUCGAUAAAAACUAUUUACAGAAAGAAAUUACUUAUAACUCUGUUAUAUAUUACAUACAAACUGAAUAUAACCAAAAAUCAUCUCGAUUUGAUAAACGAAAAUUUAAAAACGUUCUCCUAUUUGAUAUUCAAUUUCCUUUCACGUAUCACAUUAGAAUUCCAACACGUACCACAUUCACCAUAUCGUUUCCUUUAUCGAUCGUACAAUUCUACCUAGAGCAACCGUUGGUUCUGCUUUGCGACCAAAGUGACGCGUUAUUAGGUUAUGUUAAUGACUUCCUGUUUCGCGUUGGUCGCCACCUGCGAGACUGCUUAAUCGCAUAACUGGUCGCAGAGAGGGCGUAAUACUGAGAAUAAUUGGCCGUGGAUCGCGAGUUAAGAGGUAACAAACGAUCGGUUGGGAUUAACGAGAGACGAAUAAGCUGGCAACGGCAAUUGAAUGCGCACACUCGACCAGCGGUCCGUGCCUAUAGGCGAUGAUAAAUCUGAGAAGCAUCGAGCCAACCGCUAUCCCCCUUCCCUCCUUUUCCCCCUUUAUCCUUUUUUUACUCGUAUCAGUUAUGCGCGGAUAACUGAUUAAUCGUCACGUUGAUACCGCAUUCUUCCGGAAGUUGGAGCCACUGGGCCUUUGCCGCUUAAUAAACGGGUCGCGUGUAAGAGGUUAAGUCGGAUGGUAAAAGCGUUGGCAAGCGGCACGAUUGUGAGAUUUAUUAUUGAAGUUUUGAAGAUUUGUGCAUACAGUUUGAGUGAUAUAUAGUAUUGAAAAGAUUCAGCGAUUUCAGACGUGGAUUGAUAAAUUAACGCGGAGGAUUUUAUUAUAUAAUUGUUUCAAAAUUCAAUCUAAAUUUCACUCGUAUCGAUUACGUAGAAAUAACUCGUGUAACAUGUUAAAUUGGAAGACGUUAUCUUUGUCCAGAAUCUUGCACGUUCAACACAUCGUAUACAAGAUACAUCCAUACAGAUUCACUCGUGUCUUUCGAGGUCUUCAUAUCCAAACGAGACUCGCACGAUCUUGAUAUUCCAGGACAGAUAAGAGCCGAGAAGGUCUCGUUCGUUUCGCCGAGUAAUUAGCCGAAGUUGUACGCCUCUCGUCGGAGGAGUGGCGCUAGUCAUUUGUUGCAACCUGGGAACACUGGUGAGUGCCCGAGACGUAUUCGCGAGUUGAAAUAUCGCGCCGAAAACAGCGUUAAUUUCAAGGCUCGUGGUGAAACAUCUUGGGAAAAAAGACGGUCUAAAAACGCGCGACCGGUGAAAUUAUCUUCUUAUUGCGUUGUAUCUACGAAAUGCGAAACUGUUGAUUUCGAGCUUGUAUUUCUAUCGCGUGUCCUCGUGUAAAUUGCGGGAAUCGAGAUUGGCGUCGUGGAUACACCGGUUACCACUCGAGGACGACGGGUUCUCCAGCGGACGACAGUUGUCUCGAACGGUUAAGAAGAAGAAGAAUUCGUUGGUGAACGAAUGGCUCAAUUAUUGGUGGAAUUCUGUACAUAUUCUAUAUAUAAUUAUAAUUUUAAUUUGAUCGUGUCCAUUUGAACGAACACGAAAAAUUCUUGUUAAUAUUUUUUAUAUUUGAUUUUUGAUAUGAUACAAAUUUCAAUUAAGCAGAGAAAAUAUUUAAUUUUGUUAUAGAAUAUGAGAUGUACAUAUAUACGUACGUGAGUUGUUCUCUCGACAAAAAUUUUCAUAAACAAUUAAAAUAUUUAUUGACGAAAAUUCUACGGUAUAUCUUUUUCUUCAUCGUUGCUUCUCUCCUUUCUUAAUAAGUAGAAGCAAUUAGAAAGUUUCCAACACGUUCGAAAUCUAUAUUUGGUUAUUACUUUAUCUAUACGACAUAGUUUUUAUUGAUAUCCUAUUCUAUAUAUAGAAUACAGGUUCGGUGAGUUAUUAAUAAUCAUGAAAAAUAUACCAUAACGUGUUUCGAUGAAUGCUAUUCGAACAACUUGUGUCUAUCUUAAAAAUACAACGAUAAAAAUUCGAAAUAAAUUCACGAUAUAAUGUUUGGAAA